AGAUUUCAUUAGUUUGAGUUGUAAGAAGAAGAAAAUAUGUGUAGAUUUGUGAGAGAUUUUCCAUUGGUAUGGGUUAUGAUGAUGAUUAUGAGUAUUACAAAUGAUCAUUUGGCAGAUGGUGCAAUUUCUCAGAAUUCGAUGGAAAAGAUUCAUAUGAUAAACAAGAAGGGUCCUUACUUGGGUAUCGUAGUGCCCAACAGUUUUGAGAUGAACCCUCUUCUCCAAUCUUCAAGUUUUGUUCCUCAUCCCUUGCUUUCCUACUUGGAUUUUGCAGGAAGAAGGUUUCGAAUUGGAACUUUGGAAAGUCGAAAAGUUGUUGUUGUCAUGUCCGGACUCAGCAUGCUUAAUGCAGGAAUAGUAACACAGUUGCUGCUUAGCAUAUUCAAGAUUGAAGGAGUAGUUCACUUUGGAAUAGCAGGAAAUGCAAAUCCUAAAUUACAAAUAGGAGAUGUUACUAUCCCUCAUUAUUGGGCUCAUUCAGGCCUUUGGAAUUGGCAGAGGUUUGGAGAUGGACCUGGUGAUGAACUUGCAUUUGAAUCUAAUGGAGACUAUACAAGAAAAAUCGGUUAUCUUAAUUUCUCUCAAUAUGAAAAUGGCACAAAAAAUGGGAAUUAUUCAGACAACCUUCUCAACAAUGUGUGGUAUCAACCGGAAGAGAUAUUUCCAUUGAUGGGGCACCUGAGAUUAGACAGCAUGCCUUUUGGGUUCCUGUUGACAAGCUGUACUUUUCACUUGCAGACAAACUUGAGGAUAUUGUCCUCGAAAGGUGUGUCAAUUCCACUAUGUGUUUACCUCGACCUCCAAAGGUAAUUAGAGUGGAAAGAGGGGUGAGUGCUAAUGUAUUUGUAGACAAUGCUGCCUAUCGAGAUUUUUUGAAUACUAAGUUCAAUGCAACUCCAGUCGACAUGGAAAGUGCUGGAGUAGCCCUUGUAUGUCUCCAACAAAGGACGCGUUUUAUAGCAAUUAGGGCACUAUCUGAUUUAGCUGGUGGCGGUUCUUCUCUCUCCAAUGAAGCCGCUAUCUUCUCUUCACUAGCCGCUCAAAAUGCAGUUAAUGUUGUUCUUAAGUUCGUUACUUUGUUGUCUUUGUAACCUCAAAUUAUUUAACUAGACGCAAUCCAAUAAGGUUAUUAGUCAA
Molecule: RNA transcript, 1137 nt
Organism: Olea europaea var. sylvestris
Lineage: Eukaryota; Viridiplantae; Streptophyta; Magnoliopsida; Lamiales; Oleaceae
Gene name: bark storage protein A-like
Exons: 5
Source: RefSeq, a predicted model, not a curated record